CUCAUGCACACUCCCCGACCUUACACACGAUUAAAACUGAGAUGUAUUCAUAUCCACUUCAUUGUGGUUCGAACAAAGCCUUCGAACGGUUCGCGAUCAAGUGCCGGUGAACAGAGGCACUAAACGUGUCGAGUGCGGUUAGACAAAUUCCAAGCGAGAAACAAAUCCAAGCACACGCUACAUGAACUUAGACGGUGCAUGAAAACAGGUAAAGCCACUGGAAUACUCGCCUUUCACAGAUAAUAAGUGAAUCAUUCUCAAAGGUGCAAUGAAAAUCACGUGUGCGUCAACACUCACACGAUCCUAACCAUUUCGAUGUUCAUUGGGCAUAAAACGAAGUGAUACCUCGUGGCAAGACAGUGAACAGUUUCUUUCAUGUGCAUCAGAUCAAGAUAGUGACGUGAAGCAAACACAAGGCUCAAAUCAGAGCCUUUUAUGUUAGCCCGCUUCUGUUAAACCUGCGCUAGUCCGUUCUAUAGAGGCCAGUGUGCGUGAACCGUGCACCGAGAGACCAAGCUGUGAUCGCUCUGCUCAACAAGCAAAUUGUUCAACACACAAUACGGUACGAAGAUCCAAACACGGCGUAGCUGAAUUAACGCGACAGUCUCCAGGAUCGCAUGCAUCGGAGGCGCGAGACGGCUCGGAACAAAUGCAUCUGAAGUGACAAACGGGAAUGUAGAGUCAUCAGUAGGAAAGGAUCGACACCGACGUGCUACAAACAGCGGUGAUUAAUAAGUGUAGGAACCUGAGGCCGGUGUACAUGAAUCAAUAGAAUGAUAGUUAACAGGAAUGGAUUUUGAUAGUUUUAAGCAGCAUGUCACGCAUUAGUUAAGUAAGCGCAUUGCAUGAUUAGAUAGGUUUUGGUGAGUCUUUAUGAAUUGUUGGAAUUACACCAUUCGCACCAGUGAAGAUAAAUAAACCAUUACAAAUUUUGAUAUCCAUUCGAGCACGUGGUUCGAAAUGACGAAUCACAUCCAUCAAGUAUACAUGUGAAAUCUCGACACUAAAUAUCUCGUUGCGCGCCAAACAAUUUUUCAACGAUCUAGUAU
This is a long non-coding RNA of Malaya genurostris, 1049 nucleotides long. RefSeq lists it as uncharacterized. The transcript is spliced from 3 exons. Lineage: Eukaryota; Metazoa; Arthropoda; Insecta; Diptera; Culicidae. The record is from RefSeq and is a predicted model, not a curated record.